AGUAACGCGUAGGUAACCUACCUCAUAGCGGGGGAUAACUAUUGGAAACGAUAGCUAAUACCGCAUAAGAGAGACUAACGCAUGUUAGUAAUUUAAAAGGGGCAAUCGCUCCACUAUGAGAUGGACCUGCGUUGUAUUAGCUAGUUGGUGAGGUAAGGCUCACCAAGGCGACGAUACAUAGCCGACCUGAGAGGGUGAUCGGCCACACUGGGACUGAGACACGGCCCAG
This 229-nucleotide ribosomal RNA is filed under the name uncultured Streptococcaceae bacterium. RNAcentral describes it as "partial 16S ribosomal RNA". It matches the Rfam family "Bacterial small subunit ribosomal RNA", at positions 109 to 334 of the family's 1533-position model. Lineage: Bacteria; Bacillati; Bacillota; Bacilli; Lactobacillales; Streptococcaceae. The record is from RNAcentral.